AGGUCUUGAAAUUAAAAAAAAAUCAUCACACUUCUAAGGUUAUUAAAGCGUGGAUUAGCAGAAAAUCUAGUAUCACAAGCAAUCUGAAUUUUAAGCUGAAUGAUUUAUGAUGUGAAGAUAAUACUGAUAUAACAUUAUGAAUGUUGUACUGCAUCUGAGAAGCAGGAGCAUCAGUUAUGAAGAUACAGAUUUUAAAGAUGCAUUCUGCCAAGUGAAGGUUCCUGAGCUUUCCUGGAGACAGCACAAACAACAGGUGUUUAGAGCUAGACAAAGCAUUUGAAAUUCUUUAAUUUUCCAGCAUUUUCAUCAUUCAGAAUAAGCUGAAGAAUAACAUUGAAGUUCUGAACUGGACCCAGAAGAUGAAAAUGAUGGCUGGCUUGGGCAGAGAUACCAGUCACACCUCAGUUCCUUGUGUCAGUCUCAGGGCAGUGGCUGUAUUGCACCUGACGUUCCCUUCUCCUCUCUUGCUGGUGUGACCCAUGUGGUGGCUCAUGCAGCAGUACAGAAAGGUGGUUUGCAAACAGUCCAAACCAAAGUUGCUGCACACCCAAAACAAUGCACAGCCCGUUGUGAAUUUCUAAGUGGAUUUUAUAGAGAUAACCAAGUGCUUAAAAGAAGCCCUUCUAAAACCUGGCUGUGAACUGUGCCACUCCUCUGAGCCCAAACUUGAGUCUACACUGAGGUGACACACAGACAACUGAAAAUCAACAGAAAGGAACCCAGAGACACUGUCCUCUGAAAGUUGAAAGUCACUGCAUCACCGCGUGAACUAUAAAGAUACCCUUGAGUUGGCUUAUCAUUACAAGAAUGACGUAGAUGUUGCAAAAUGUUGGGUGUGUUUCAGUGUUCCUCAUCACUCUAAUGAAGUUGUCACCAUGUGUCCUAUAGCAUGUAAUUUGUUAUAACAAAUAAAAGAUCAGUUUGCAAUCCCCACAGGGCAGCAAUUGCUUGUCCAAGAUUAUCUGAUGACAGUAAGCGGAACUGAUCCAAGUCAAUCCAAUACAUGUAAGUGUGAAGAUCCAACUCUGCCCUCCACCUGGGACUGCAUGCUCCUCAGAGCAGCUGCUACUUGAAAGCAAAUGCAACAUACUAUACGGGGCAUGGUA
Centrocercus urophasianus (Greater sage-grouse) is the source of this 1106-nucleotide long non-coding RNA. RefSeq lists it as uncharacterized. NCBI's taxonomy places the organism in Eukaryota, Metazoa, Chordata, Aves, Galliformes, Phasianidae. The transcript has 5 exons. The record is from RefSeq and is a predicted model, not a curated record.